Molecule: small nuclear RNA, 127 nt
Organism: Choloepus didactylus (southern two-toed sloth)
Lineage: Eukaryota; Metazoa; Chordata; Mammalia; Pilosa; Megalonychidae
Product: U4atac minor spliceosomal RNA
Exons: 1
Source: RefSeq, a predicted model, not a curated record
ACCAUCCUUUUCUUGGGGUUGCGUUAUUGUCCAAUGAACGACUAGUGAGGGCAGUACUGCUAACGCCUGUGCAACACACCCGCAUCAACUAGAGCUUCCGCUUUAUCUUGGUGCAAUUUUUGGAAAA